CUACGGGGGGCUCCAGUCGGGAAACUUUUGCAAUGCGCGAAAGCGUGACAAAGCAAGCCAGAGUGUUCCUCUUAAUAGAGAAACUUUUGCCAGCUGCAAAAAGGCUGGCGAAUAAGGACCGGGCAAGACCGGUGCCAGCCGCCGCGGUAAUCCCGGCGGUCCAAGUCGCCGCCACAUUUAUUGGGUCUAAAACAUCCGUAGCUUGUUUUGCAAGUCUCUUGUGAAAUCUUAUAUCUUAAGUAUAAGGCACGCAAGAGAUACUGCAUUGCUAGAGACCGGAAGACGCAGCGAGUACAUCUAAGGUAGUGGUAAAAUACGUUAAUCUUGGUUGGACUAACAAUGGCGAAGGCACGCUGCGAGGACGGAUCUGACAGUGAGGGAUGAAGGCCAGGGGCGCAAAAUGGAUUAGAUACCCUUGUAGUC
This 423-nucleotide ribosomal RNA is filed under the name uncultured archaeon. RNAcentral's name for it is "partial 16S ribosomal RNA". It matches the Rfam family "Archaeal small subunit ribosomal RNA", at positions 323 to 746 of the family's 1478-position model. The record is from RNAcentral.